RNAcentral lists this ribosomal RNA (460 nucleotides) under uncultured bacterium. Its description in RNAcentral is "partial 16S ribosomal RNA". It matches the Rfam family "Bacterial small subunit ribosomal RNA", at positions 338 to 795 of the family's 1533-position model. The record is from RNAcentral.
CCUACGAGUGGCAGCAGUGAGGCAUAUUGGUCAAUGGGCGCGAGCCUGAACCAGCCAAGUAGCGUGAAGGAUGACUGCCCUACGGGUUGUAAACUUCUUUUAUAAAGGAAUAAAGUGAGGCACGUGUGCCUUUUUGUAUGUACUUUAUGAAUAAGGAUCGGCUAACUCCGUGCCAGCAGCCGCGGUAAUCAGGAGGAUCCGAGCGUUAUCCGGAUUUAUUGGGUUUAAAGGGAGCGUAGAUGGGUUGUUAAGUCAGUUGUGAAAGUUUGCGGCUCAACCGUAAAAUUGCAAUUGAUACUGGCAGUCUUGAGUACAGUUGAGGUAGGCGGAAUUCGUGGUGUAGCGGUGAAAUGCUUAGAUAUCACGAAGAACUCCGAUUGCGAAGGCAGCUUACUAAACUGCCACUGACAUUGAUGCUCGAAAGUGUGGGUAUCAAACAGGAUUAGAUACCCGUGUAGUC